GUAAGGAAUCUUUCGCAAUGGGGGCAACCCUGACGAAGCAACACCGCGUGGAGGAUGAAGGCGUUUUCGUUGUAAACUCCUUUUCUGAGGGAAUAACUCUGAAGGUACCUCAGGAAUAAGCAUCGGCUAACUACGUGCCAGCAGCCGCGGUAAGACGUAGGAUGCAAGCGUUAUCCGGAAUUAUUGGGCGUAAAGCGUUCGUAGGUGGUUUGUUAAGUUGGAUGUCAAAGCCCAGAGCUCAACUCUGGACAGGUGUCCAAAACUGGCAAGCUAGAGACAGGUAGAGGCAGGUAGAAUUCUGUAUGUAGGGGUAAUAUCCGUAGAUAUACAGAGGAAUACCAAAAGCGAAGGCAGCCUGCUGGACCUGUUCUGACACUCAAGAACGAAAGCGUGGGGAGCAAACGGGAUUAGAAACCCCGGUAGUCC
This 426-nucleotide ribosomal RNA is filed under the name uncultured bacterium. RNAcentral describes it as "bacterial SSU rRNA". It matches the Rfam family "Bacterial small subunit ribosomal RNA", at positions 354 to 796 of the family's 1533-position model. The record is from RNAcentral.